This 815-nucleotide long non-coding RNA is filed under the name Equus asinus (donkey). RNAcentral describes it as "lncRNA (ENSEASG00005025023.1)". The record is from RNAcentral. Lineage: Eukaryota; Metazoa; Chordata; Mammalia; Perissodactyla; Equidae.
AGAAUCCCUCCCUUACCACCUUUGCUCUUUGAACAUCUCAUUUUGCCAGUCCCCACUCCCACUUUGCCCCAUCUUGCUCCAAGGCUGGCAAACUUUGCUGGAGAAAACCACAAAAGUACUGAUGGAGCUGUCUGCCACUUGUGUCUGUCUUGGCCUGGACCUCAGUGGCAUUAGUCAUCUGUAUGAGAAGUUUGAAGAGGCUUGAUUGGUUCUCAAACACUGAAAACGUUUGCUGACCCCUGACCUAGAAGCUGUGAGGGCUGGUGGAGGAAAUCUUGUGAAGGGCAAGUAUCAUUUUGUAAAGCUCUGCCUCAGAGUGAAGAACAAUUCCUGGAGUGACCCUGACACCAGUGGGAAGCAAACAGGAAGAAGCAAAUCCCUUCUUCCUCCUCCAGCCUCCAGUGUCCCUCCAGCAUCCUCAGGGCCUCCUAGAGCCUAACAGGGAGCAGCUGCAGAGUGGAAAUAUGUGGUGUUCAGAGUCUUAGCUCCAACACCACAUAGUAGGGGUUACCAGGCUGAGCUGCAGUUGCUUAAUCAGCAGCACACGUCCCAGUUAUUCACAGGAGAAGAGAGUCUUCAUAACUGUGAUGCUAAAGCAUGCCAGGAGGAUAUUAUCACCCACUCACCACUAAGAACCAGCUCCUUGUUGCCACCUGAGCAGGAAAUGAUCCAAGACUGAGGAUCUGCUGCCUGGACCCCUUCUAAUACCAACUGUCUUAAUGUGGGUUCCCAGAAGCCAACCCUGAGGCAAGGAUUUGAGUGAAGUGGUUUAUUUGGGAGGUAGAGGGACAAAUAAAGUGUGUGUUGCCAGCCAG